RNAcentral lists this transfer RNA (60 nucleotides) under Dipodomys ordii (Ord's kangaroo rat). It matches the Rfam family "tRNA", at positions 7 to 64 of the family's 71-position model. Rfam says of the family: Transfer RNA (tRNA) molecules are approximately 80 nucleotides in length. Their secondary structure includes four short double-helical elements and three loops (D, anti-codon, and T loops). Lineage: Eukaryota; Metazoa; Chordata; Mammalia; Rodentia; Heteromyidae. The record is from Rfam by way of RNAcentral.
GUAGCUCAGUGGUAGAGUGCUUGCCUUGCAUGCAUGAGGACCUGGGUUCAAUUCCUCAGC